This 500-nucleotide ribosomal RNA is filed under the name uncultured bacterium. RNAcentral describes it as "partial 16S ribosomal RNA". It matches the Rfam family "Bacterial small subunit ribosomal RNA", at positions 30 to 523 of the family's 1533-position model. The record is from RNAcentral.
AUUGAACGCUGGCGGCAUGCCUUACACAUGCAAGUCGAACGGCAGCACGGGAGCAAUCCUGGUGGCGAGUGGCGAACGGGUGAGUAAAGUAUCGGAACGUGCCCAGUCGUGGGGGAUAACGUAGCGAAAGUUACGCUAAUACCGCAUACGAUCUAUGGAUGAAAGCGGGGGAUCGCAAGACCUCGCGCGAUUGGAGCGGCCGAUAUCAGAUUAGGUAGUUGGUGGGGUAAAGGCUCACCAAGCCGACGAUCUGUAGCUGGUCUGAGAGGACGACCAGCCACACUGGGACUGGGACACGGACCAGACUCCUACGGGAGGAAGCAGUGGGGAAUUUUGGACAGUGGGCGAAAGCCUGAUCCAGCCAUGCCGAGUGCAGGAUGAAGGCCUUCGGGUUGUAAACUGCUUUUGUACGGAACGAAAAGGUUUGGCCUAAUAAGCUGAGCUCAUGACGGUACCGUAAGAAUAAGCACCGGCUAACUACGUGCCAGCCGCCGCCGUAA